UUAUAUGAGAGUUUGAUCCUGGCUCAGGAUGAACGCCGGCGGUGUGCCUAAUACAUGCAAGUCGAACGCGUUGGCCCAAUUGAUUGAUGGUGCUUGCACCUGAUUGAUUUUGGUUGCCAGCGAGUGGCGGACGGGUGAGUAACACGUAGGUAACCUGCCCAGAAGCGGGGGACAACAUUUGGAAACAGAUGCUAAUACCGCAUAACAGCGUUGUUCGCAUGAACAACGCUUAAAAGAUGGCUUCUCGCUAUCACUUCUGGAUGGACCUGCGGUGCAUUAGCUUGUUGGUGGGGUAAUGGCCUACCAAGGCGAUGAUGCAUAGCCGAGUUGAGAGACUGAUCGGCCACAAUGGGACUGAGACACGGCCCAUACUCCUACGGGAGGCAGCAGUAGGGAAUCUUCCACAAUGGGCGCAAGCCUGAUGGAGCAACACCGCGUGAGUGAAGAAGGGUUUCGGCUCGUAAAGCUCUGUUGUUAAAGAAGAACACGUAUGAGAGUAACUGUUCAUACGUUGACGGUAUUUAACCAGAAAGUCACGGCUAACUACGUGCCAGCAGCCGCGGUAAUACGUAGGUGGCAAGCGUUAUCCGGAUUUAUUGGGCGUAAAGAGAGUGCAGGCGGUUUUCUAAGUCUGAUGUGAAAGCCUUCGGCUUAACCGGAGAAGUGCAUCGGAAACUGGAUAACUUGAGUGCAGAAGAGGGUAGUGGAACUCCAUGUGUAGCGGUGGAAUGCGUAGAUAUAUGGAAGAACACCAGUGGCGAAGGCGGCUACCUGGUCUGCAACUGACGCUGAGACUCGAAAGCAUGGGUAGCGAACAGGAUUAGAUACCCUGGUAGUCCAUGCCGUAAACGAUGAGUGCUAGGUGUUGGAGGGUUUCCGCCCUUCAGUGCCGGAGCUAACGCAUUAAGCACUCCGCCUGGGGAGUACGACCGCAAGGUUGAAACUCAAAGGAAUUGACGGGGGCCCGCACAAGCGGUGGAGCAUGUGGUUUAAUUCGAAGCUACGCGAAGAACCUUACCAGGUCUUGACAUCUUGCGCCAACCCUAGAGAUAGGGCGUUUCCUUCGGGAACGCAAUGACAGGUGGUGCAUGGUCGUCGUCAGCUCGUGUCGUGAGAUGUUGGGUUAAGUCCCGCAACGAGCGCAACCCUUGUUACUAGUUGCCAGCAUUAAGUUGGGCACUCUAGUGAGACUGCCGGUGACAAACCGGAGGAAGGUGGGGACGACGUCAGAUCAUCAUGCCCCUUAUGACCUGGGCUACACACGUGCUACAAUGGACGGUACAACGAGUCGCGAACUCGCGAGGGCAAGCAAAUCUCUUAAAACCGUUCUCAGUUCGGACUGCAGGCUGCAACUCGCCUGCACGAAGUCGGAAUCGCUAGUAAUCGCGGAUCAGCAUGCCGCGGUGAAUACGUUCCCGGGCCUUGUACACACCGCCCGUCACACCAUGAGAGUUUGUAACACCCAAAGUCGGUGGGGUAACCUUUUAGGAGCCAGCCGCCUAAGGUGGGACAGAUGAUUAGGGUGAAGUCGUAACAAGGUAGCCGUAGGAGAACCUGCGGCUGGAUCACCUCCUUU
This 1576-nucleotide ribosomal RNA is filed under the name Limosilactobacillus fermentum. RNAcentral's name for it is "bacterial SSU rRNA". It matches the Rfam family "Bacterial small subunit ribosomal RNA". Lineage: Bacteria; Bacillati; Bacillota; Bacilli; Lactobacillales; Lactobacillaceae. The record is from RNAcentral.